RNAcentral lists this ribosomal RNA (896 nucleotides) under uncultured Flavobacterium sp. RNAcentral describes it as "bacterial SSU rRNA". It matches the Rfam family "Bacterial small subunit ribosomal RNA", at positions 31 to 930 of the family's 1533-position model. The record is from RNAcentral. Lineage: Bacteria; Pseudomonadati; Bacteroidota; Flavobacteriia; Flavobacteriales; Flavobacteriaceae.
GGUAGCUGCGGCAGGCUUAACACAUGCAAGUCGAGGGGUAGGGGAAGCUUGCUUCCUUGAGACCGGCGCACGGGUGCGUAACGCGUAUGCAACCUACCUUUUACAGAGGGAUAGCCCAGAGAAAUUUGGAUUAAUACCUCAUGGUAUAUAUCAUUCGCAUGUUUGAUAUAUUAAAGUUCCAACGGUAAAAGAUGGGCAUGCGUCCUAUUAGCUAGAUGGUAAGGUAACGGCUUACCAUGGCAACGAUAGGUAGGGGUCCUGAGAGGGAGAUCCCCCACACUGGUACUGAGACACGGACCAGACUCCUACGGGAGGCAGCAGUGAGGAAUAUUGGACAAUGGGCGCAAGCCUGAUCCAGCCAUGCCGCGUGCAGGAAGAAGCAUCUAUGGUGUGUAAACUGCUUUUGUACGGGAAGAAACACUCCUUCGUGAAGGAGCUUGACGGUACCGUAAGAAUAAGGAUCGGCUAACUCCGUGCCAGCAGCCGCGGUAAUACGGAGGAUCCAAGCGUUAUCCGGAAUCAUUGGGUUUAAAGGGUCCGUAGGCGGUUUGGUAAGUCAGUGGUGAAAGUCCGCAGCUCAACUGUGGAACGGCCAUUGAUACUGCCAGACUUGAAUUACAAGGAAGUAACUAGAAUAUGUAGUGUAGCGGUGAAAUGCUUAGAUAUUACAUGGAAUACCAAUUGCGAAGGCAGGUUACUACUUGUGGAUUGACGCUGAUGGACGAAAGCGUGGGGAGCGAACAGGAUUAGAUACCCUGGUAGUCCACGCCGUAAACGAUGGAUACUAGCUGUUGGGGGCAACUUCAGUGGCUAAGCGAAAGUGAUAAGUAUCCCACCUGGGGAGUACGUUCGCAAGAAUGAAACUCAAAUGAAUUGACGGAAGGGCGAAUUCCAGC